RNAcentral lists this ribosomal RNA (447 nucleotides) under uncultured bacterium. RNAcentral describes it as "bacterial SSU rRNA". It matches the Rfam family "Bacterial small subunit ribosomal RNA", at positions 329 to 793 of the family's 1533-position model. The record is from RNAcentral.
GGCCAGACUCCUACGGGAGGCAGCAGUGGGGGAUAUUGCACAAUGGGGGGAACCCUGAUGCAGCGACGCCGCGUGGGUGAAGGGGCGUUUCGGCGCGUAAAGCCCUAUCGGCAGGGAAGAAGAUGACGGUACCUGAGUAAGAAGCCCCGGCUAACUACGUGCCAGCAGCCGCGGUAAUACGUAGGGGGCAAGCGUUAUCCGGAUUUACUGGGUGUAAAGGGAGCGUAGACGGCAUGGCAAGUCUGAAGUGAAAGCCCGGGGCUCAACCGCGGGACUGCUUUGGAAACUGUUAAGCUGGAGUGCAGGAGAGGUAAGUGGAAUUCCUAGUGUAGCGGUGAAAUGCGUAGAUAUUAGGAGGAACACCAGUGGCGAAGGCGGCUUACUGGACUGUAACUGACGUUGAGGCUCGAAAGCGUGGGGAGCAAACAGGAUUAGAUACCCCAGUAG